Molecule: non-coding RNA, 90 nt
Organism: Xenorhabdus nematophila ATCC 19061
Lineage: Bacteria; Pseudomonadati; Pseudomonadota; Gammaproteobacteria; Enterobacterales; Morganellaceae
Source: Rfam
GGUGAGGUGGCCGAGAGGCUGAAGGCGCUCCCCUGCUAAGGGAGUAUGUGGUUAAGAGCUGCAUCGAGGGUUCGAAUCCCUCCCUCACCG